GCCACGCCCGCUCAGAAACUACAAAGGAAGUUGACGGGGCCCGCACAAGCGGUGGAGCAUGUGGUUUAAUUUCGAUGAUACGCGAGGAACCUUACCUGGGCUCAAAUGUAUGUUGACGUAUUCUGAAAGGGAUACUUCUUCGGACAAUAUACAAGGUGCUGCAUGGUUGUCGUCAGCUCGUGCCGUGAGGUGUCGGGUUAAGUCCCAUAACGAGCGCAACCCUUGCCUUUAGUUGCCAGCAGUUCGGCUGGGCACUCUAAAGGGACUGCCGGUGUUAAACCGGAGGAAGGUGGGGAUGACGUCAAGUCCUCAUGGCCUUUAUGACCAGGGCUACACACGUACUACAAUGGCCGAUACAAAGGGCAGCGACACUGCGAGGUGAAGCCAAUCCCGUAAAAUCGGUCUCAGUCCGGAUUGGAGUCUGCAACUCGACUCCAUGAAGUUGGAAUCGCUAGUAAUCGUGGAUCAGCAUGCCACGGUGAAUACGUUCCCGGGCCUU
RNAcentral lists this ribosomal RNA (499 nucleotides) under uncultured Desulfobulbus sp. RNAcentral's name for it is "bacterial SSU rRNA". It matches the Rfam family "Bacterial small subunit ribosomal RNA", at positions 903 to 1382 of the family's 1533-position model. The record is from RNAcentral. Lineage: Bacteria; Pseudomonadati; Thermodesulfobacteriota; Desulfobulbia; Desulfobulbales; Desulfobulbaceae.